AAUUAAAGUAAAUUAUAUAAAAGGCACCUUCAACUUAAAAUUGUCCAAAGAACACGCUCUUAAGCUAUGUCCAUCGAGUCACGGG
This is a long non-coding RNA of Chrysoperla carnea, 85 nucleotides long. RefSeq lists it as uncharacterized. The transcript is spliced from 3 exons. Lineage: Eukaryota; Metazoa; Arthropoda; Insecta; Neuroptera; Chrysopidae. The record is from RefSeq and is a predicted model, not a curated record.